RNAcentral lists this ribosomal RNA (534 nucleotides) under Alpheus malleator. RNAcentral describes it as "partial 16S ribosomal RNA". It matches the Rfam family "Bacterial large subunit ribosomal RNA", at positions 1829 to 2621 of the family's 2925-position model. The record is from RNAcentral. Lineage: Eukaryota; Metazoa; Arthropoda; Malacostraca; Decapoda; Alpheidae.
GUCCUUAUGUAGCUGUGUAAGGUCUGGCCUGCCCACUGGGCGAUGAGUCUGAAGGGCCGCGGUAUACUAACCGUGCGAAGGUAGCAUAGUCAAUAGUCUUUUAAUUGGAGGCUUGAAUGAACGGUCGGACAUGAAGAAAUCUGUCUUAGCCCGGGGGAGUGAAGUUAACUUUUGUGUGAAAAGGCAUUAAUGAUUUAGGGGGACGAUAAGACCCUAUAAAGCUUGAUGAUUGGGGCAGGAGAGUCUCGAUUUUGGUUUAAGGGGGCUUUUGUGAUAUUCAUUGUGCUGGGGCGGCAGAAAUAUAAAUUGUAACUGUUUUUAAAGUGUAAUAAUUGUAAUUAGAUCUUGAUCCUGAAUUUUGGAUUAAAAGUGUAAGCUACUUUAGGGAUAACAGCGUUAUUUCUCUUGAGAGUUCAUAUCGACAGAGAAGUUUGCGACCUCGAUGUUGAAUUAAAGUUUCUUCCGGGGGCAGGAGUUCGGUGAGUGGGUCUGUUCGACCCUUAAAAUUUUACGUGAUCUGAGUUCAGACCGGAC